CUUAUUCUUAGGGGAAAACAAUUAAUUUCAACCAUCCCAUGCGUCGGCUACAGCCAUUUAUUCACAUCAGCUCACCCUCUGAUAUCUGACUUACACAAAAAACACAAAGACUCGCCAGAUGACAACUGAAUGAGGAUGAUAAGCCGGGCGACUCCGCCUCCCACCUUCCAGCGGGCGCGGCCGGCCCCUCGGGAAGGGCCGUCGGCGAGUCCGGCGGGGCUCCCGGCGGGGCUCACGUCGUGCCCGGUGCCGGCUUCCCAGGGCUAACGAGGGACAUCUUUAUCAGUCCUUCGUUUAACUCGACUCGGAUUUCCUCCUCUGGCAAGACGCAGCUACUCCUCCGCACUUGAACUUCGGAGAGUUUAGGAGGAAUGAACGCGGGUCCUCUUUUUCUUACGCAUCCAUUAAACAGUUUCCAAGUCAACGUGCCAGGCAGCCGGGGAUGAGGAAAGAGCCCCACCACCACCGAGCAGCUUCUUGAAGCACAGUAUCAGACUCUAAUGUACUCCACUAAUUUCCAAAAGGUAGUCCCACAGCCUCUGCUUCUGAGGUCCCAUUCUGAACUUUUAAAAAUUAUUAUUAAAGACAUUUACUCCAUAAUAAUCACCUUUUCCUCAAAACAGUUCAGACACUGCUAGACAUUGUCUUUCACGUGCUUGCAUAUUUUCUGCCUAUUGUUUUUGCAGUCUCCUGUUUUUUUUUUUAAUAAAAGAUUAUAUAAUGAACAUUUC
Molecule: RNA transcript, 731 nt
Organism: Bubalus bubalis (water buffalo)
Lineage: Eukaryota; Metazoa; Chordata; Mammalia; Artiodactyla; Bovidae
Gene name: pro-resilin-like
Exons: 2
Source: RefSeq, a predicted model, not a curated record